This 910-nucleotide long non-coding RNA is filed under the name Homo sapiens (human). Its description in RNAcentral is "non-protein coding lnc-SERTAD2-3:11". The record is from RNAcentral. Lineage: Eukaryota; Metazoa; Chordata; Mammalia; Primates; Hominidae.
AUUCGAGACCUUCUGGGUGGGAAGGAGGCAGCCAUGUGGUGAUCUGGGGAAGAGUGCUGCAAGCAGAAAGGCAAGUAAAAACAAAAGCCCUGAGGCAGAAAUGUGCUCCUUAUGCUUAAGAAACACCGUGAAGGCCAACGUGGUUGGAGCAAUGUGAGCAAGAAGAAUAGAGGGGCCUUGGGAACAUAGGUAGCUGAGUCCUCAUGGAUCAAGCCAGCAGGUUCUCUUCAACACCCCAGCCCUGGAGAGCCGCAGAUUGGACAACGGGCAGACUUUGUUGAACAGAUGAACAACUGUGGCUAAAUCUGUUUUGGAAAAAAAAAAAAAAAAGACCUGAAGCAAUUGAUAAACAAGAGGCUGAGGUCAGUGUGAAGGAAGAAUAAAUGAGGCCAGAUUGGAGAACGUUGAAAAGUGAUGUCUGCUGGGACAAUGGCGCACAAGCAGAGGAGAUAUUCAUCAGCUGUACAUCUGCUGUUCCUUGCUGCCCCACAAGCCCAGAAUUCUGGUUGUCUUACAAUGUUCGGAGGUUCAGUGACAUGUGUGUUUCAUCUUUGAUUGGUAAGUGGGGGUGCUGACAGCCCUGAGAGGUCACAUUUUCCAUUCAAACCAGAACUUGUUUUGAAUGCAGAAAAAAAGGCAAUGGCAUUCUAAAAAAUGUGAAUGACCAGGGAAAUGGAUCAUAUAUCUUUUCUUACUUGUUAUAUUUCCCUGUAUUAGCUAAUCACAUAUGCUGAACAUGAAGACGUAGAAGAAAUGGGAAAUAUUGGGCAAUGUAUAGUUCUUUUUCCUUUCAGCCAUUCCUUGCUCAUCACUAAGCUGAAGAUAGAGUGUUGGUAGAAUGCUUACAUAUCAAGGAAUAAAAGCAAUUGAGCUGGUUGUGCAGUGUUUCCAAUAUUCUGGUAAGAACAAA